CAGUAGCCGCGGUAAUACGUAGGGUGCAAGCGUUAAUCGGAAUUACUGGGCGUAAAGCGUGCGUAGGCGGCUUUUUAAGUCGGAUGUGAAAUCCCUGAGCUUAACUUAGGAAUUGCAUUCGAUACUGGGAAGCUAGAGUAUGGGAGAGGAUGGUAGAAUUCCAGGUGUAGCGGUGAAAUGCGUAGAGAUCUGGAGGAAUACCGAUGGCGAAGGCAGCCAUCUGGCCUAAUACUGACGCUGAGGUACGAAAGCAUGGGGAGCAAACAGGAUUAGAUCCCCGGUAGUCCCUGUCUCUUAUACA
RNAcentral lists this ribosomal RNA (301 nucleotides) under uncultured bacterium. RNAcentral's name for it is "partial 16S ribosomal RNA". It matches the Rfam family "Bacterial small subunit ribosomal RNA", at positions 509 to 808 of the family's 1533-position model. The record is from RNAcentral.